CCAAAUAAUUUAUUUAAAUGGGGAGAGAUUAUGAAAAAUUUGUUUAUAUGAUGAUGCGAAUCGAUAAAUAUGUGAUACAAAAUAAUCAGUAAUUUUUAUGGACGAGAUAAUACUCAUUAUGAGAUGCACCAGCAUUAUAAACAUAUAUUUUAAAUAAUGAAUCUCGCAUACUUCAGGCUGCGAGUUGAUAAUACCUUUGUAUACAACCAUAUAUUUCACAAAAUAUCUCACUGUUCAAUAAUAUGAUAUUUUCAUCUCAUGCCAUAUCUUCAUUAAUUUAUUCUCAAAGAUGAUAAAUCACAAUUAUAUCUUUGCUGGUGAUCAAUUUUCCUUUAUAAGCAAAUAAUAUAUGUACCACUGAGAAGAAGAAUCUAC
This 375-nucleotide long non-coding RNA is filed under the name Daucus carota (carrot). RNAcentral describes it as "long non-coding RNA (DCAR_LNC000035)". The record is from RNAcentral. Lineage: Eukaryota; Viridiplantae; Streptophyta; Magnoliopsida; Apiales; Apiaceae.